This 402-nucleotide ribosomal RNA is filed under the name uncultured bacterium. RNAcentral's name for it is "bacterial SSU rRNA". It matches the Rfam family "Bacterial small subunit ribosomal RNA", at positions 355 to 774 of the family's 1533-position model. The record is from RNAcentral.
UGGGGAAUCUUGCACAAUGGGGGCAACCCUGAUGCAGCGACGCCGCGUGAGCGAUGAAGCCCUUCGGGGCGUAAAGCUCUUUCGACCGGAACGAUAAUGACGGUACCGGGAGAAGAAGCUGCGGCUAACUACGUGCCAGCAGCCGCGGUAAUACGUAGGCAGCAAGCGUUGUUCGGAGUUACUGGGCGUAAAGAGUGCGCAGGCGGUUUUCUAAGUUCGGUGUGAAAUCUCCCGGCUUAACUGGGAGGGUGCGCCGAAGACUGGGAAGCUGGAGUGUGGGAAAGGCAGGCGGAAUUCCUGGUGUAGCGGUGAAAUGCGUAGAUAUCAGGAGGAACACCGGCGGUGUAGACGGCUUGCUAGACCAUAACUGACGCUGAGGCACGAAAGCGUGGGUAGCAAACA